RNAcentral lists this ribosomal RNA (435 nucleotides) under uncultured bacterium. RNAcentral's name for it is "bacterial SSU rRNA". It matches the Rfam family "Bacterial small subunit ribosomal RNA", at positions 917 to 1350 of the family's 1533-position model. The record is from RNAcentral.
GGGCCCGCACAAGCGGUGGAGUAUGUGGUUUAAUUCGAUGCAACGCGAAAAACCUUACCUACACUUGACAUACUUCGAAUUUUCUAGAGAUAGAUUAGUGCCUUCGGGAGCGAAGAUACAGGUGCUGCAUGGCUGUCGUCAGCUCGUGUCGUGAGAUGUUGGGUUAAGUCCUAUAACGAGCGCAACCCUUACCCUUAUUUGCCAGCGGUUAGGCCGGGAACUAUAAGGGAACUGCCGGUAAUAAGCCGGAGGAAGGUGGGGACGACGUCAAGUCAUCAUGGCCCUUACGUGUAGGGCUACACACCGUGCUACAAUGGGAGAUACAGACGGUUGCUAAAGCGCGAGCUGGAGCCAAUCCGACAAAGUCUCUCGUAGUCCGAAAUUGCAGUCUGGAACUCGACUGCAUGAAGCCGGAAUCGCUAGUAAUCGCGGAUC